UACGAAGGGGGCUAGCGUUGCUCGGAAUCACUGGGCGUAAAGGGUGCGUAGGCGGGUCUUUAAGUCAGAGGUGAAAUCCUGGAGCUCAACUCCAGAACUGCCUUUGAUACUGAGGAUCUUGAGUUCGGGAGAGGUGAGUGGAACUGCGAGUGUAGUGGUGAAAUUCGUAGAUAUUCGCAAGAACACCAGUGGCGAAGGCGGCUCACUGGUCCGGUACUGACGCUGAGGUGCGAAAGCGUGGGGAGCAAACAGG
This 253-nucleotide ribosomal RNA is filed under the name uncultured bacterium. RNAcentral's name for it is "partial 16S ribosomal RNA". It matches the Rfam family "Bacterial small subunit ribosomal RNA", at positions 524 to 776 of the family's 1533-position model. The record is from RNAcentral.